RNAcentral lists this ribosomal RNA (433 nucleotides) under uncultured bacterium. RNAcentral's name for it is "partial 16S ribosomal RNA". It matches the Rfam family "Bacterial small subunit ribosomal RNA", at positions 29 to 507 of the family's 1533-position model. The record is from RNAcentral.
AACGAACGCUGGCGGCAUGCCUAACACAUGCAAGUCGAACGAGACCUUCGGGUCUAGUUGCUCACGCGUGCGUCACGCGUGGGAACCGGGCCGUAGGUUCGGAAUAAUUCCUUUACGGGGGUGCUAACACCGGUAAAUGUCUGCUAACACAGGCUUUAUCGCCUUUGGAUGGGCCCGCGUUGGAUGCGCUAGUUGGUAGUGUAAUCGCCUACCAAGGCGACGAUCCAUAGCUGGUCUGAGAGGAAGAGCAGCCACACUGGGACUGAGACACGGCCCAGAAUCCUACGGGAGGCAGCAGUGGGGAAUAUUGCACAAUGGGCGAAAGCCUGAUGCAGCAAGGCCGCGUGAGUGAUGAAGUCCUUAGGGAUGUAAAGCUCUUUUAGCCGGGAUGAUAAUGACGGUACCGGAAGAAUAAGCCCCGGCUAACUCCGUG